Molecule: ribosomal RNA, 879 nt
Filed under: Triticum aestivum (bread wheat)
Lineage: Eukaryota; Viridiplantae; Streptophyta; Magnoliopsida; Poales; Poaceae
Description: partial small subunit ribosomal RNA
Source: RNAcentral
AUGAAGCCCCCCGGCCGCCUCGCCACCGCGGCGGCCGCCGCGCUGCUCGUCGCGGCGUCGCUGCUGCUCGCCACCCUCCUCACCUCGCCGCUGCCGCUGCUGCCGCUGCUCCCGUGCCUGCCGACCGUCACGGCGCCCUCGGGCGACGGGUACGCGCCCGCGGGCCUCGCCGCGCUCGCCGACGCCGCCCUCUACUACGCCACCACGCCCAACGUCCCGCAGCAGUCGCACGCCGAGAUCUCGCUCUCCCUCGCCGUGCUGCGCCGCCGCGCGCCGCUGCGGCUGCUGGUGUUCGGCCUCGGCCACGACUCGCCGCUCUGGCACGCGCUCAACCCCGGCGGCGUCACCGUCUUCCUCGAGGAGGACCCGGAGUGGUACCGCAUCGUGCGCGCCCAGUCGCCGUUCCUCCGCGCGCACCUCGUCAGGUACCGCACGCGCCUCGACCACGCCGACGUCCUCUUCCGCUCCUACAGGAACUUCCCCUCCUGCGUCCCCGGCGCCGACGCCGACGGCGCCCCCUUGCGGGUCCGCGCCAACGCCGAGUGCCCGCUGGCGCUGCACAACCUGCCGCCGGAGGUGUACCAGAACGAGUGGGACAUGCUCAUGGUGGACGCGCCCAAGGGGUACUUCCCGUCGGCGCCCGGCAGGAUGGCGGCGAUAUGGACGGCGGCGGCGAUGGCGCGGGCCAGGCGCGGCGAGGGGGACACCGACGUGUUCCUGCACGACGUGGACCGCAGGGUGGAGAGGAUGUACGCCGAGGAGUUCCUCUGCGAGAGGUUCCGGGUGGGAGCGACCGGCCGGCUCUGGCACUUCAGGAUCCCGCCGGUGUCACGGCGGAACGGCACGGCGGCCGGCGGCGACAAGAGGCCUUUCUGCUGA